UUUUUCUCAAACUACUGCUUUUUCAGUAUUCUCCCUGAAUUUAUUGUGUUUGUUGAGAAAAUUUUAGCGAAAAUAAUUUUUUUAAAAACUCUGUAAAAAAUCAAUUUAUCGAUUAGGUUGCAAUAUGUGAUCGUUUUGUAAUAGCUGAAC
Molecule: non-coding RNA, 150 nt
Organism: Caenorhabditis elegans
Lineage: Eukaryota; Metazoa; Nematoda; Chromadorea; Rhabditida; Rhabditidae
Source: Ensembl